GUGAACACUGGCGGUAGGCCUAACACAUGCAGGUCGAACGGCAGCACAGUAAGAGCUUGCUCUUACGGGUGGCGAGUGGCGGACGGGUGAGGAAUACAUCGGAAUCUACUUUUUCGUGGGGGAUAACGUAGGGAAACUUACGCUAAUACCGCAUACGACCUACGGGUGAAAGCAGGGGAUCUUCGGACCUUGCGCGAUUGAAUGAGCCGAUGUCGGAUUAGCUAGUUGGCGGGGUAAAGGCCCACCAAGGCGACGAUCCGUAGCUGGUCUGAGAGGAUGAUCAGCCACACUGGAACUGAGACACGGUCCAGACUCCUACGGGAGGCAGCAGUGGGGAAUAUUGGACAAUGGGCGCAAGCCUGAUCCAGCCAUACCGCGUGGGUGAAGAAGGCCUUCGGGUUGUAAAGCCCUUUUGUUGGGAAAGAAAAGCAGCAGGUUAAUACCCCGCUGUUCUGACGGUACCCAAAGAAUAAGCACCGGCUAACUUCGUG
RNAcentral lists this ribosomal RNA (491 nucleotides) under uncultured bacterium. RNAcentral describes it as "partial 16S ribosomal RNA". It matches the Rfam family "Bacterial small subunit ribosomal RNA", at positions 29 to 507 of the family's 1533-position model. The record is from RNAcentral.